RNAcentral lists this ribosomal RNA (392 nucleotides) under Priestia aryabhattai. RNAcentral's name for it is "bacterial SSU rRNA". It matches the Rfam family "Bacterial small subunit ribosomal RNA", at positions 555 to 946 of the family's 1533-position model. The record is from RNAcentral. Lineage: Bacteria; Bacillati; Bacillota; Bacilli; Caryophanales; Bacillaceae.
UGGGCGUAAGCGCGCGCAGGCGGUUUCUUAAGUCUGAUGUGAAAGCCCACGGCUCAACCGUGGAGGGUCAUUGGAAACUGGGGAACUUGAGUGCACAAGAGAAAAGCGGAAUUCCACGUGUAGCGGUGAAAUGCGUAGAGAUGUGGAGGAACACCAGUGGCGAAGGCGGCUUUUUGGUCUGUAACUGACGCUGAGGCGCGAAAGCGUGGGGAGCAAACAGGAUUAGAUACCCUGGUAGUCCACGCCGUAAACGAUGAGUGCUAAGUGUUAGAGGGUUUCCGCCCUUUAGUGCUGCAGCUAACGCAUUAAGCACUCCGCCUGGGGAGUACGGUCGCAAGACUGAAACUCAAAGGAAUUGACGGGGGCCCGCACAAGCGGUGGAGCAUGUGGUU